This 600-nucleotide ribosomal RNA is filed under the name uncultured Bacteroidota bacterium. RNAcentral describes it as "bacterial SSU rRNA". It matches the Rfam family "Bacterial small subunit ribosomal RNA", at positions 54 to 650 of the family's 1533-position model. The record is from RNAcentral. Lineage: Bacteria; Pseudomonadati; Bacteroidota.
CAUGCAAGUCGAGGGGUAACAGGAAAGCUUGCUUUUGCUGACGACCGGCGCACGGGUGCGUAACGCGUAUGCAACCUACCUCAUACUGGAGCAUAGCCCUUGGAAACGGGGAUUAAUACUCCAUGGUAUCAUGAAUUCGCAUGUUUUCAUGAUUAAAGAAUUUCGGUAUGAGAUGGGCAUGCGUCCCAUUAGUUAGUUGGUGAGGUAACGGCUCACCAAGGCGACGAUGGGUAGGGGGCCUGAGAGGGUGGUCCCCCACACUGGUACUGAGACACGGACCAGACCCCUACGGGAGGCAGCAGUGAGGAAUAUUGGUCAAUGGAGGCAACUCUGAACCAGCCAUGCCGCGUGAAGGAUGACGGCCCUAUGGGUUGUAAACUUCUUUUAUAUGGGAAGAAACUUAUCUACGUGUAGAUAACUGACGGUACCAUACGAAUAAGGAUCGGCUAACUCCGUGCCAGCAGCCGCGGUAAUACGGAGGAUCCAAGCGUUAUCCGGAUUCAUUGGGUUUAAAGGGUCCGUAGGCGGAUUUUUAAGUCAGUGGUGAAAGCCGACAGCUCAACUGUCGAACUGCCAUUGAUACUGGAAAUCUUGAGUACA